Molecule: unclassified non-coding RNA, 673 nt
Filed under: Hevea brasiliensis (rubber tree)
Lineage: Eukaryota; Viridiplantae; Streptophyta; Magnoliopsida; Malpighiales; Euphorbiaceae
Source: RNAcentral
AGAAGAUGAUUUUCGAGAUAGAAAGCGGGAAGAGAGAGAACUUUCAAUUAAGGUAGAGGAGAGGGAAAGAGAGAGAGAGAAAGCUAUCCUCGUGAAAGAGGAUAUGGAUCCAAAUGCCUCAAAGAGGCGUAAACUUAAGAGAGAGCAUAUGGCUUCAGAACCUGGAGAAUAUUCACCCGCUGCUCAUCCUCCUCUUUCUAUUAAUAUGACGCAGCCCAGUGAUGGAAGAGAUAGGGGAGAGCGGAAGGGUGUUAUUGUUCAGCAGCGUCCAGGUUACUUGGACGAGCCAGGUCUUAGGAUUCAUGGAAAAGAAAGUGCCAGCAAAGCACCCCGUCGUGAUGCGGACUCUAUGUAUGACAGAGAGUGGGAUGACGACAAGAGGCAAAGAGCUGAGCCCAAGAGGCGGCAUCGGAAGUAAUUGCUAAACCACUAGACAACCGAAGUUCUGCCGAAGUAAAAUUUACUUGUUCUUUUUGGCUUGUGUCAUGUAUGUUCCCAGACCGAUUUUGUUUAGUCAAUUGUUUAUUAGGCCCUUUAUGAGGUUUGAAUUACUACCUGCAUGUAGGUAGGCAAGAAGGAUGUGUUUCUUUGUGGCAAAUUGUUUUGGAACCCUCGAUUUACGUUAUAUUACAUGUCAUAUAUGCAUACCGCUUACAAUUUUGGAAGAAAGAAA